Molecule: ribosomal RNA, 393 nt
Filed under: Triticum aestivum (bread wheat)
Lineage: Eukaryota; Viridiplantae; Streptophyta; Magnoliopsida; Poales; Poaceae
Description: partial small subunit ribosomal RNA
Source: RNAcentral
AUGACGAUCGUGGACUUGACGAAUUGUAAGCAGGGGGAAGGUGAAUCUACCACCCAUUGGGUACGCCGGGUCAAGGAGAUAAUUCAUUCAUCUGAUAAGAUGGAUGCCGGCUCUGUAGUCCUUAUAUUGGAAAAGAAUUGCAGCUUCAAGCCACUGAGGCAGAAACUGGGGCGCCUUAAACGUGGCUGCAAGGAUAUGGGUACAUUAAUGGCGGCUCUGGUCAAAUAUGCCGAUUCUGAUAGUACCAAAGAUCCCGAGUCUGACGAUGAAAAGACAGGGAAGGGAAAACCAAACGACAGUAGAAAGGACCAACCGCAUAACCCGGUGAAUCAAAGAGGCAAAAAGCGUAAGGCGGAUGACAACCCGGAGCUUGUGGCCAACAUUAAUACAUAG